GCGCAGGUGGUGAAAUUGGUAUACACGCUACUUUGAGGGGGUAGUGCCGGUUCCGGCGUGUGAGUUCGAGUCUCAUCCUGCGCACAA
This 87-nucleotide transfer RNA is filed under the name Porphyromonas cangingivalis. RNAcentral describes it as "tRNA-Leu". It matches the Rfam family "tRNA". From Rfam's summary of the family: Transfer RNA (tRNA) molecules are approximately 80 nucleotides in length. The record is from RNAcentral. Lineage: Bacteria; Pseudomonadati; Bacteroidota; Bacteroidia; Bacteroidales; Porphyromonadaceae.